This 459-nucleotide ribosomal RNA is filed under the name uncultured bacterium. Its description in RNAcentral is "partial 16S ribosomal RNA". It matches the Rfam family "Bacterial small subunit ribosomal RNA", at positions 338 to 795 of the family's 1533-position model. The record is from RNAcentral.
CCUACGGGUGGCAGCAGUGAGGAAUAUUGGUCAAUGGGCGCGAGCCUGAACCAGCCAAGUCGCGUGAGGGAUGACGGCCCUAUGGGUUGUAAACCUCUUUUGUCGGGGAGCAAAAGGCGCCACGCGUGCCGUUCCGAGAGUACCCGAAGAAAAAGCAUCGGCUAACUCCGUGCCAGCAGCCGCGGUAAUACGGAGGAUGCGAGCGUUAUCCGGAUUUAUUGGGUUUAAAGGGUGCGAAGGCGGAAGAUCAAGUCAGCGGGAAAAUUGAGGGGCUAAACCUCUUCGAGCAGUUGAAACUGGUGUUCUUGAGUGAGGGAGAGGUAGGCGGAAUGCGUGGUGUAGCGGUGAAAUGCAUAGAUAUCACGAAGAACUCCGAUUGCGAAGGCAGCUUACCGGAGCGCAACUGACGCUGAUGCACGAAAGUGUGGGUAUCGAACAGGAUUAGAUACCCGAGUAGUC